This 310-nucleotide ribosomal RNA is filed under the name uncultured bacterium. RNAcentral's name for it is "bacterial SSU rRNA". It matches the Rfam family "Bacterial small subunit ribosomal RNA", at positions 28 to 334 of the family's 1533-position model. The record is from RNAcentral.
GACGAACGCUGGCGGCGUGCCUAAUACAUGCAAGCCGAGCGGACUUUUAAAAGCUUGCUUUUAAAAGUUAGCGGCGGACGGGUGAGUAACACAUGGGUAACCUGCCUGUCAGAAGGGGAUAACCCGGUGAAAGUCGGACUAAUACCCUAUAUGCUCACGAGAGGCGCCUGCCUUGGUGAGGAAAGAUUUAUCACUGACAGAUGGACAUGCGUCCCAUUAGCUGGUUGGUAGGGUAACGGCCUACCAAGGCAACGAUGGGUAGGGGAACUGAGAGGUUUAUCCCCCACAUUGGUACUGAGACACGGACCAA